CCUACGGGAGGCAGCAGUGAGGAAUUUUCCGCAAUGGGCGAAAGCCUGACGGAGCAAUACCGCGUGAGGGAUGAAGGAUUUUGGUCUGUAAACCUCUUUUCUCAAGAAAGAAGUUCUGACGGUACUUGAGGAAUAAGCAUCGGCUAACUCCGUGCCAGCAGCCGCGGUAAUACGGGGGAUGCAAGCGUUAUCCGGAAUGAUUGGGCGUAAAGCGCCUGUAGGUUGUUUAUUAAGUCCGUUGUUAAAGCCUAGGGCUUAACCCUAGAAAAGCAAUGGAAACUAGUAGACUAGAGUAUGGCAGGGGUAGAGGGAAUUUCUAGUGUAGCGGUGAAAUGCGUAGAUAUUAGAAAGAACACCGGUGGCGAAAGCGCUCUACUGGACCAUUACUGACACUCAGAGGCGAAAGCUAGGGUAGCAAAAGAGAUUAGAUACCCCUGUAGUCCUAGCCGUAAACGAUGGAUACUAGAUGUUGUGNAUAUNUACAGUAUACGUAGUACUACGUACGUAGUAUCCGUCCGUCGGGUAGGUACGUCGUCGCGAGGUAGGAACGUACGAAGUAGUAAGUUAGUACGGCGUGUAAGUACGUGUUCCGACGGACGACGACGAGGGAGGAGG
RNAcentral lists this ribosomal RNA (615 nucleotides) under uncultured bacterium. RNAcentral describes it as "bacterial SSU rRNA". The stretch from base 1 to 516 matches the Rfam family "Bacterial small subunit ribosomal RNA", at positions 338 to 873 of the family's 1533-position model. The record is from RNAcentral.